GAACGAACGCUGGCGGCAGGCCUCAUACAUGCAAGUCGAGCGAUUAAAGCUCCUUCGGGAGUGUAUAAAGCGGCGGACGGGUGAGUAACAGGUGGAUAAUCUGCCCUUCGGCGGGGGACAACGGUUGGAAACGACCGCUAAUACCGCGUACGAUUAUUAGGUGUUUUUGGCGCGUAAGGAAAGGCGCUUCACAGCGCCGCCAUGAGAUGAGCCCGCCCCCCAUUAGCUAGUUGGUGAGAUAACAGCUCACCAAGGCUUCGAUGGGUAGCCGAGCUGAGAGGUUGAUCGGCCACACUGGGACUGAGACACGGCCCAGACACCUACGGGUGGCAGCAGUAGGGAAUAUUGGACAAUGGGCGAAAGCCUGAUCCAGCCAUGCCGCGUGGAGGAUGAAGGCCUUCGGGUCGUAAACUCCUUUUCUGAGGGAAGAACAACCGGUGGAGGAAAUGCCAUUGGUCUGACGGUACCUCAGGAAUAAGCAACGGCUAACUCCGUGCCAGCAGCCGCGGUAAUACGGAGGUUGCAAGCGUUGUUCGGAAUUACUGGGCGUAAAGGGAGCGCAGGCGGCUUGAUCAGUCUGAAGUGAAAGUCCGAGGCUUAACCUCGGAAGUGCUUCGGAUACUGUCAAGCUUGAGUUCGUGAGAGGAGAGGGGAAUUCCAGGUGUAGCGGUGGAAUGCGUAGAUAUCUGGAGGAACACCCGUGGCGAAAGCGCCUCUCUGGCACGAUACUGACGCUGAGGCUCGAAAGCGUGGGGAGCGAACAGGAUUAGAUACCCUGGUAGUCCACGCCGUAAACGUUGUGAACUAGGUGUAGGAGGUGUUGACCCCUUCUGUGCCAAAGCUAACGCAUUAAGUUCACCGCCUGGGGAGUACGCUCGCAAGAGUGAAACUCAAAGGAAUUGACGGGGGCCCGCACAAGCGGUGGAGCAUGUGGUUUAAUUCGAGGCAACGCGAAGAACCUUACCCAGGCUUGACAUCCCGUGACCUCCCUAGAGAUAGAGCUUCUCUUCGGAGCAGAGAGACAGGUGGUGCAUGGUUGUCGUCAGCUCGUGUCGUGAGAUGUUGGGUUAAGUCCCGCAACGAGCGCAACCCCUAUUGCCAGUUGCCAUCAUUAUGGUGGGCACUCUAGGGAGACUGCCGGUGGUAAACCGGAGGAAGGUGGGGAUGACGUCAAGUCCUCAUGGCCCCUAUGUCCCGGGCUACACACGUAAUACAAUGGUAACGACAGAGGGCAGCUACCCCGCGAGGGCAAGCGAAUCCUAAAACGUUAUCUCAGUUCGGAUUGCAGGCUGCAACUCGCCUGCAUGAAGUCGGAAUUGCUAGUAAUGGCAGGUCAGCAUACUGCCGUGAAUACGUUCCCGGGCCU
This 1366-nucleotide ribosomal RNA is filed under the name uncultured prokaryote. RNAcentral's name for it is "partial 16S ribosomal RNA". It matches the Rfam family "Bacterial small subunit ribosomal RNA", at positions 27 to 1381 of the family's 1533-position model. The record is from RNAcentral.